GGGAUAAUGAUAGGCGAGAGAAGGAUUAUCGGGACCGAGACCGUGAUUACCGUGGGAAUGGGCGUAGGAGCGGCGACAGGCAUGACAGGUAUGACAGGGAUGGUGCUAGAAGAAGACACGGUAGUCCCAGGCGGAGCAGGAGCCCAGUCAGGGAAGGGAGUGAAGAACGCAGAGCCAGGAUUGAACAAUGGAACAGAGAGAGGGAGGAGAAGCAGUGAGGGGACCGAGUUGGGUUGUUCCUACUGAGUAGUUCUUUUGUCAAUUUCUCUUAUUG
RNAcentral lists this unclassified non-coding RNA (274 nucleotides) under Hevea brasiliensis (rubber tree). The record is from RNAcentral. Lineage: Eukaryota; Viridiplantae; Streptophyta; Magnoliopsida; Malpighiales; Euphorbiaceae.